AACGAACGCUGGCGGCAUGCCUAACACAUGCAAGUCGAACGAGACCGUCGGGUCUAGUGGCGCACGGGUGCGUAACGCGUGGGAACCUGCCCUUAGGUUCGGAAUAACUCCCCGAAAGGGGUGCUAAUACCGGAUAAUGUCUUCGGACCAAAGAUUUAUCGCCUUUGGAUGGGCCCGCGUUGGAUUAGCUAGUUGGUAGGGUAAAAGCCUACCAAGGCGAGGAUCCAGAGCUGGUCGGAGAGGAUGAUCCGCCACACUGGGACUGCGACACGGCCCAGACUCCUACGGGAGGGAGCAGUGGGGAAUAUUGGACGAGGGGCGAAGGCCUGAUCCAGCAAUGCCGCGUGAGUGAGGAAGGCCGUAGGGUUGUAAAGCUCUUUUACCCGGGAUGAUAAUGACAGUACCGGGAGAAUAAGCUCCGGCUAACUCCGUG
RNAcentral lists this ribosomal RNA (433 nucleotides) under uncultured bacterium. RNAcentral's name for it is "partial 16S ribosomal RNA". It matches the Rfam family "Bacterial small subunit ribosomal RNA", at positions 29 to 507 of the family's 1533-position model. The record is from RNAcentral.